Non-coding RNA from Synechococcus sp. JA-2-3B'a(2-13), 187 nucleotides. It matches the Rfam family "Antisense RNA which regulates isiA expression". Lineage: Bacteria; Bacillati; Cyanobacteriota; Cyanophyceae; Synechococcales; Synechococcaceae. The record is from Rfam.
AGUAGCCGAAGAUCACAGCGGGGUUCAAGGUGGGGUUGGUAAUUACCCGCACAUCGCCACCCCCUGGAGCCCAGGUGUCAUAGACACCGCCAAACCACAUGGCCUUGGCCACCAAUAGGAAAGCCCCCAACCCCAACAGGAUCAGGUGGAUCCCCAGGAUGGUGGUCAUCUUGUUCUUGUCUUUCCA